RNAcentral lists this unclassified non-coding RNA (231 nucleotides) under plant metagenome. Its description in RNAcentral is "partial contains small subunit ribosomal RNA, internal transcribed spacer 1, and 5.8S ribosomal RNA". The record is from RNAcentral.
UCUCCGUUGGUGAACCAGCGGAGGGGUCAUUACAAAGUUGCAAAACUCCCAAACCCUUGCGAACGUUACCUAUCCCUUGGCUUCGGCGGUCGGCCCGGGCCCCGCGCCCGGCGCCCCCUGGCUCCCCGUGGGCGCCCGCCGGAGGUAAACCAAAACCAUGAAUUGCAUGGCCACUCUGAUUAUUCUGUACUUAAUAAGUCAAAACUUUCAACAACGGAUCUCUUGGUUCUG